Molecule: long non-coding RNA, 1397 nt
Organism: Megalobrama amblycephala (Wuchang bream)
Lineage: Eukaryota; Metazoa; Chordata; Actinopteri; Cypriniformes; Xenocyprididae
Exons: 5
Source: RefSeq, a predicted model, not a curated record
ACGUUUGAGGAACAUCAUACCUUAUAAAAACGUUCCUCUAACAUCAAGAAAACUGGAUGUUUUAAGAGCCAACACUGAAUAUUUAGAGAACGUUCUUAUAACAAAAUUCUGUUAGCUGGGAAUCUCAUAUAGAAAUAAUUAAACUGUGAUUUUACUGUGAGAUCAAGUUUGAAUUCAGGUUUAAACUCAGUUAUUAUGGAUUGAUUAAAUAAAAUAAUAUAAAUAUGAAGCUCAAAUACUCAAAAGCAUUAGUUUUAUUGUGACAUUAAACAUUAAAACAAAAGUGUCUUUUUUAGUUAUUGUUCCAUAUAAAAUUUAUUUCUCUUUUGAUUCAACAUAUUUUGUCAUUGUUCUGCUGUAGAAUAUUAAUUUCACAUUUAAAUGAAUAAAAGUAUUUUAGUAAAGCUUCAUCAAACCAACAUCAAGUGAUUUUAAAGCUUUAAUCUGUGAAAAACUCUUCAGGUGUGUUUGGUAGUAAUCCUAUUUGGUCAGUGUCAGUAAACAAGGGAGAUUCAGUCACUCUAGACUCUGAUCUUACUGAAAUGAAGGAUGAUGAUGAGAUUCAGUGGAGGUUUGAAAACACUUUAAUAGCUGAAAUCAAUAAACGGGCCGACAGAUUCACUGUAUAUGAUGAUGUUCUUGAUGGGAGAUUCAGAGACAGACUGAAACUGGACAAUCAAACUGGAUCUCUGACCAUCACAAACACCACAAUGAAGCAUGAAGGAUUUUAUCAUCUAAAGAUCAACAGUCACAGAAAGAAUUUCCAACUCAGUGUCAUUGGUCGACAGAUUCACUGUAUAUGAUGAUGUUCUUGAUGGGAGAUUCAGAGACAGACUGAAACUGGACAAUCAAACUGGAUCUCUGACCAUCACAAACACCAGAACUGAACAUGUUGGAGAAUAUAAACUAAAGAUCAACCAUAUGACGAUUGAUUUCUAUCUCACUGUCAUUGUGUCGGUGAUGGAGGGAGAUUCAGUCACUCUAAACUCUGAUCUUACUGAAAUGAAGGAUGAUGAUAAGAUUCUGUGGAGGUUUGAAAACACUUUAAUAGCUGAAAUCAAUCAACAGAACAACGGAUUCACUGUAUAUGAUGAUGUUCUUGAUGGGAGAUUCAGAGACAGACUGAAACUGGACAAUCAAACUGGAUCUCUGACCAUCACAAACACCAGAACUGAACAUGAUGGACGUUAUGAACGACAGAUCAACUUUUUCAGGAGGACUUCUUUUAUUUGUCUCACUGUCUACGGAAAAUUGACAUUCUUUGUCUUAGUGAAACUUGGCACAAAGACGAUGACUAUCUUAAUUUGAACGUGUGCCCCAUCUGGAUAUACAUAUAUUGACGUGCCUCGAGCUUCCGCUCGUCUGCCUGUUCCUGUCAUCAGCAGUAACUCUUCACA